GCUCAUCGAAUACGUUGUUUAUAGUAUUACAUAUAAUAACACUCACGAGUCAUAGAAACCAUUGGACAUACAUAUAUACAAUUGUAUCAUGUUGGGGCAUCCACUUUAACCAUAUAAGGAAUUAGGUUCAAAAAAGAACACUGAUCUAUAUAUUUCGAAGCAACAUUACAGGAACCCCAAUCUUCAACGUUAGCUUGUGGUUGGG
This 205-nucleotide long non-coding RNA is filed under the name Panax ginseng (ginseng). RNAcentral's name for it is "long non-coding RNA (PGIN_LNC008320)". The record is from RNAcentral. Lineage: Eukaryota; Viridiplantae; Streptophyta; Magnoliopsida; Apiales; Araliaceae.